This 65-nucleotide transfer RNA is filed under the name Epitonium scalare. RNAcentral's name for it is "tRNA-Ser". The record is from RNAcentral. Lineage: Eukaryota; Metazoa; Mollusca; Gastropoda; Epitoniidae.
GAAGAAUAGGUUAGAACGGGGCUGCUAACUUUAGUUCUGGGUAAUUCGAUUUUAUCCUCUUCCUU